RNAcentral lists this ribosomal RNA (497 nucleotides) under uncultured bacterium. Its description in RNAcentral is "partial 16S ribosomal RNA". It matches the Rfam family "Bacterial small subunit ribosomal RNA", at positions 28 to 507 of the family's 1533-position model. The record is from RNAcentral.
GAUGAACGCUGGCGGCGUGCCUAAUACAUGCAAGUCGAGCGAACAGACGAGGAGCUUGCUCCUCUGACGUUAGCGGCGGACGGGUGAGUAACACGUGGAUAACCUACCUAUAAGACUGGGAUAACUUCGGGAAACUGGAGCUAAUACCGGAUAAUAUAUUGAACCGCAUGGUUCAAUAGUGAAAGACGGUUUUGCUGUCACCUAUAGAUGGAUCCGCGCCGCAUUAGCUAGUUGGUAAGGUAACGGCUUACCAAGGCGACGAUGCGUAGCCGACCUGGGAGGGUGAACGGCCACACUGGAACUGAGACACGGCCCAGACUCCUACGGGAGGCAGCAGUAGGGAAUCUUCCGCGAUGGGCGAAAGCCUGACGGAGCAGCGCCGCGUGAGUGAUGAGGGUCUUCGGAUCGUAAAACUCUGUUAUUAGGGAAGAACAAAUGUGUAAGUAACUAUGCACGUCUUGACGGUACCUAAUCAGAAAGCCACGGCUAACUACGUG